AAUAAGGUCUCCUUCUUCUGUUCUCCAGGCUGAACAACCCCAACUUUUCCAGCCUGUCCUCAUAGAAGUGCUCCAGCCUUCUGAUCUUCUUGGCCU
Molecule: long non-coding RNA, 96 nt
Organism: Corvus hawaiiensis (hawaiian crow)
Lineage: Eukaryota; Metazoa; Chordata; Aves; Passeriformes; Corvidae
Exons: 3
Source: RefSeq, a predicted model, not a curated record